CAACAUUGAUCCAGAGCUGCUGACUGUUUGUCCGAGUCCAUUUCAACAAAAAGAAAAAGAAACAGCCAUGAAGGUCCGAGUCUCACUGAUGCUGGUCUUGGCUGCUCUGCUGCUCAGCUCCACUGCGACAUCAGAACUGGGUGGAGUGGAUGGCAAACCGGGAAUUAGAAAUCUGUGUUGGCCUUUAGGAAGAUGUGUCCCUCGACACCAGUGCGCGUGGGUCAUGCCCGGUCAAUGUUCCAACGGAAACGUGUGCUGUCGUGCUCCGAGGCAGCAGUGAUGCUUAGUCAAACCCAAACCCUAACCCUGCACAAACCUCCAAGCAGACAAGCACGGACCCUGAAACAUCCCAGAGAACAUUAUCACACUGUUACACCUACACUUUACCAUCUGCAAACCCGGAGUUUAUGCUUAAUCUGAGAGAUUAGCUCUCAUGAUGAGAUGUGAAGUGUGCAGCUGUGCAAAAAUAAAAGAAAGUGACUCUUCA
Long non-coding RNA from Myripristis murdjan (pinecone soldierfish), 487 nucleotides. RefSeq lists it as uncharacterized. Lineage: Eukaryota; Metazoa; Chordata; Actinopteri; Holocentriformes; Holocentridae. The transcript is spliced from 4 exons. The record is from RefSeq and is a predicted model, not a curated record.